UACGGGGGGGGCAAGCGUUGUUCGGAAUUAUUGGGCGUAAAGGGCGCGUAGGCGGCUUGGCAAGUGGAUGGUGAAAUCCCUCGGCUUAACCGAGGAACUGCCGUCCAAACUGCUUAGCUUGAGACCGGGAGAGGUGAGUGGAAUUCCCAGUGUAGCGGUGAAAUGCGUAGAUAUUGGGAGGAACACCAGUGGCGAAGGCGGCUCACUGGACCGGUACUGACGCUGAGGCGCGAAAGCGUGGGGAGCAAACGGG
This 253-nucleotide ribosomal RNA is filed under the name uncultured bacterium. Its description in RNAcentral is "partial 16S ribosomal RNA". It matches the Rfam family "Bacterial small subunit ribosomal RNA", at positions 524 to 776 of the family's 1533-position model. The record is from RNAcentral.